Molecule: non-coding RNA, 242 nt
Organism: Schizosaccharomyces pombe (fission yeast)
Lineage: Eukaryota; Fungi; Ascomycota; Schizosaccharomycetes; Schizosaccharomycetales; Schizosaccharomycetaceae
Source: the annotation of a GenBank genome assembly
AGAUAAGCAUGUCUCCAAGCAAGGAAUGUAGCAAGUAUACCAGUUAAAAUGUCACCCUGACCACCACAACGUUUAAGACCACCAGGAACGGAGCAAGCAUAUGCAGUAGCGCCAUCGGAAAUAAUAUCGGAUUGGCCUUUUUGAAUGAUGAGCAAAUUUAGUUUGCCAGCUAGCUGAUUGCAAGCAUCGGGUCCGUCACUCUUAAUGUCAAGCUUGUCGCAAAGUCUUUUGAACUCAAUAAC